CUGAAAAGUAAAUUAAUUUUAGAAGUUUAAAAAACGGUCUGGAAUUUAAAUAGUGAAGAUGAAGGUUAGGUUCACGUUGGUUUUGUUUGUAACGAUGUUCCUCUUGGUGUCAUCCUAUCCUUUCAACGAGAUAUCCGUACCUUCUAUAGACGAUGUCGAGAGCAACGAAAUAUGUUCUAUGGAGCACUGCGAUUGGGAACUGGGCAACUGUGACCUUACGUGUACAAUAAAUUAUGGCAAACAUAAAACUGGACAUGCCGGUCGAAUGUUCCACAGCUGCCUAGCAACUUGCGGGAAUAAUUACUUAAGGUGUACGGUUGCUUGCUUAUAAAUAGUUUUUUUUUCACAAAAAGAUGAUUAUCUGUGUAUGCUAUUUUGUAGGGUAUGAAUUGAAAAGACAUGUAAAAUAUAUAAUACGUUGGCUACAAUUUGGUCACAUCACUAACAGUUUGAUGAGAAUAGUUAUGUGAAUUAUUGAUUGAUAUAUAUAUAGCUUUAUGACGAAAAAAUGAAAAUGUAUAGAAUUUACUUUAUUUUGUUGAUUUAUUCAUUAUUGAUAUUAUACAUUAAAUGGAACCCAUAACAAAAGUUUGAAAAUUUAAGAAUAUGUAAUGUAAACGACUCAGUAGAUCUCGCCCUGUGAAGCAAUAACACAUAAAGCUUUGAUUACUUAGAUAAAAAUGUUAUGUAUCUUACUAUCCUUAUAAAUUGCACUGCUCUUUUCAUUUUCCAGUAUAUUUCUUUUUAAUGAUAUCCAAGAAUAUUUUGAAUGGAUUGACGUUAAUUUCUUUAAAUUACAUAAGCUUAUUUACGUACUUUUUGCUAUAAAUAAAGUGCCUCAAAAGUUACAUGGCGUGACAUCUGAAAACAUAUUAUUGCACUAAUUAACUAUUAACUUAAAAUGUACUAGAUAUUAUGCGCUAAUUACCACAUAUAGACGACACCAAGUGUGAUCUUUGUUAGGGAUUGUGUUUAGUAAAUAUCACGUUCCCUU
Molecule: long non-coding RNA, 994 nt
Organism: Ruditapes philippinarum (Manila clam)
Lineage: Eukaryota; Metazoa; Mollusca; Bivalvia; Venerida; Veneridae
Exons: 2
Source: RefSeq, a predicted model, not a curated record